UCGAGGGGCAGCAUAAAAAUAGCUUGCUAUUUUGGUGGCGACCGGCGCACGGGUGCGUAACGCGUAUGCAAUCUACCCUAUACUGAGGGAUAGCCCGGAGAAAUUCGGAUUAAUACCUCAUAGUAUUUAUGAAUCGCAUGGUUUAUAAAUUAAAGGUUACGGUAUAGGAUGAGCAUGCGUCCCAUUAGCUAGAUGGUAAGGUAACGGCUUACCAUGGCGACGAUGGGUAGGGGGCCUGAGAGGGUAGUCCCCCACACUGGUACUGAGACACGGACCAGACUCCUACGGGAGGCAGCAGUGAGGAAUAUUGGUCAAUGGGCGCAGGCCUGAACCAGCCAUGCCGCGUGAAGGAAGAAGGAUCUAUGGUUUGUAAACUUCUUUUAUUUAGGAAUAAACUCUCGGACGUGUCCGAGCCUGAAGGUACUAAAUGAAUAAGCACCGGCUAACUCCGUGCCAGCAGCCGCGGUAAUACGGAGGGUGCAAGCGUUAUCCGGAAUCAUUGGGUUUAAAGGGUCCGCAGGCGGUCUUAUAAGUCAGUGGUGAAAUCUCGUAGCUUAACUAUGAAACUGCCAUUGAUACUGUAGGACUUGAAUUCGGUCGAAGUGGGCGGAAUAUGACAUGU
This 622-nucleotide ribosomal RNA is filed under the name uncultured Bacteroidota bacterium. Its description in RNAcentral is "bacterial SSU rRNA". It matches the Rfam family "Bacterial small subunit ribosomal RNA", at positions 62 to 676 of the family's 1533-position model. Lineage: Bacteria; Pseudomonadati; Bacteroidota. The record is from RNAcentral.